RNAcentral lists this ribosomal RNA (847 nucleotides) under uncultured Staphylococcus sp. RNAcentral's name for it is "bacterial SSU rRNA". It matches the Rfam family "Bacterial small subunit ribosomal RNA", at positions 68 to 896 of the family's 1533-position model. Lineage: Bacteria; Bacillati; Bacillota; Bacilli; Caryophanales; Staphylococcaceae. The record is from RNAcentral.
GAACAGAUAAGGAGCUUGCUCCUUUGACGUUAGCGGCGGACGGGUGAGUAACACGUGGGUAACCUACCUAUAAGACUGGGACAACUUCGGGAAACCGGAGCUAAUACCGGAUAAUAUGUUGAACCGCAUGGUUCAAUAGUGAAAGAUGGUUUUGCUAUCACUUAUAGAUGGACCCGCGCCGUAUUAGCUAGUUGGUGAGGUAACGGCUCACCAAGGCAACGAUACGUAGCCGACCUGAGAGGGUGAUCGGCCACACUGGAACUGAGACACGGCCCAGACUCCUACGGGAGGCAGCAGUAGGGAAUCUUCCGCAAUGGGCGAAAGCCUGACGGAGCAACGCCGCGUGAGUGAUGAAGGUCUUAGGAUCGUAAAACUCUGUUAUUAGGGAAGAACAAACGUGUAAGUAACUGUGCACGUCUUGACGGUACCUAAUCAGAAAGCCACGGCUAACUACGUGCCAGCAGCCGCGGUAAUACGUAGGUGGCAAGCGUUAUCCGGAAUUAUUGGGCGUAAAGCGCGCGUAGGCGGUUUUUUAAGUCUGAUGUGAAAGCCCACGGCUCAACCGUGGAGGGUCAUUGGGAACUGGAAAACUUGAGUGCAGAAGAGGAAAGUGGAAUUCCAUGUGUAGCGGUGAAAUGCGCAGAGAUAUGGAGGAACACCAGUGGCGAAGGCGACUUUCUGGUCUGUAACUGACGCUGAUGUGCGAAAGCGUGGGGAUCAAACAGGAUUAGAUACCCUGGUAGUCCACGCCGUAAACGAUGAGUGCUAAGUGUUAGGGGGUUUCCGCCCCUUAGUGCUGCAGCUAACGCAUUAAGCACUCCGCCUGGGGAGUACGACCGCAAGGUUG